This 363-nucleotide ribosomal RNA is filed under the name Dumontinia tuberosa. RNAcentral describes it as "eukaryotic LSU rRNA". It matches the Rfam family "Eukaryotic large subunit ribosomal RNA", at positions 249 to 629 of the family's 3401-position model. The record is from RNAcentral. Lineage: Eukaryota; Fungi; Ascomycota; Leotiomycetes; Helotiales; Sclerotiniaceae.
AAGCUCUUUCGACGAGUCGAGUUGUUUGGGAAUGCAGCUCAAAAUGGGUGGUAUAUUUCAUCUAAAGCUAAAUAUUGGCCAGAGACCGAUAGCGCACAAGUAGAGUGAUCGAAAGAUGAAAAGCACUUUGGAAAGAGAGUUAAACAGUACGUGAAAUUGUUGAAAGGGAAGCGCUUGCAAUCAGACUUGCACUUGGUGUUCAUCAGGGUUUCGUGCCCUGUGUACUUCAUCAAGUCCAGGCCAGCAUCAGUUUGAGUGGUUAGAUAAAGGCUUGGAGAAUGUGGCCCUCUUCGGGGGGUGUUAUAGCUCCAGGUGCAAUGUAGCCUACUUGGACUGAGGACCGCGCUUCGGCUAGGAUGCUGG